This 597-nucleotide ribosomal RNA is filed under the name Saccharomyces cf. cerevisiae/paradoxus. Its description in RNAcentral is "LSU rRNA". It matches the Rfam family "Eukaryotic large subunit ribosomal RNA", at positions 22 to 632 of the family's 3401-position model. The record is from RNAcentral. Lineage: Eukaryota; Fungi; Ascomycota; Saccharomycetes; Saccharomycetales; Saccharomycetaceae.
GUACCCGCUGAACUUAAGCAUAUCAAUAAGCGGAGGAAAAGAAACCAACCGGGAUUGCCUUAGUAACGGCGAGUGAAGCGGCAAAAGCUCAAAUUUGAAAUCUGGUACCUUCGGUGCCCGAGUUGUAAUUUGGAGAGGGCAACUUUGGGGCCGUUCCUUGUCUAUGUUCCUUGGAACAGGACGUCAUAGAGGGUGAGAAUCCCGUGUGGCGAGGAGUGCGGUUCUUUGUAAAGUGCCUUCGAAGAGUCGAGUUGUUUGGGAAUGCAGCUCUAAGUGGGUGGUAAAUUCCAUCUAAAGCUAAAUAUUGGCGAGAGACCGAUAGCGAACAAGUACAGUGAUGGAAAGAUGAAAAGAACUUUGAAAAGAGAGUGAAAAAGUACGUGAAAUUGUUGAAAGGGAAGGGCAUUUGAUCAGACAUGGUGUUUUGUGCCCUCUGCUCCUUGUGGGUAGGGGAAUCUCGCAUUUCACUGGGCCAGCAUCAGUUUUGGUGGCAGGAUAAAUCCAUAGGAAUGUAGCUUGCCUCGGUAAGUAUUAUAGCCUGUGGGAAUACUGCCAGCUGGGACUGAGGACUGCGACGUAAGUCAAGGAUGCUGCAUA